This 1505-nucleotide ribosomal RNA is filed under the name metagenome. RNAcentral's name for it is "bacterial SSU rRNA". It matches the Rfam family "Bacterial small subunit ribosomal RNA". The record is from RNAcentral.
AGAGUUUGAUCCUGGCUCAGAACGAACGCUGGCGGCGGGUUUUAAACAUGCAAGUCGAACGGUAAGGCCCUUCGGGGUACACGAGUGGCGAACGGGUGAGUAACACGUAGGAACCUACCUCAAUGAGAGGGACAACUUUGGGAAACUGAAGCUAAUACCUCAUAAUCCUGUCAUCUUUUAGUUGGCGGGCAAAUGGUUCCCUUCGGGGUUCCGCUUUGAGAUGGGCCUGCGGUCUAUCAGCUUGUUGGUAGGGUAAUGGCCUACCAAGGCAUCGACGGAUAGCUGGCUUGAGAGGGUGGUCGGCCACACUGGAACUGAGACACGGUCCAGACUCCUACGGGAGGCAGCAGUUAAGAAUCUUGCGCAAUGGGCGAAAGCCUGACGCAGCCACGCCGCGUGAGCGAUGAAGGCCUUCGGGUUGUAAAGCUCAGUAUGAUGGGACGAAUAAGCAUGGUCUAAUAGGCCAUGCGAUGACGGUACCAUCCUGCAGCCCCGGCUAAUUACGUGCCAGCAGCCGCGGUAAUACGUAUGGGGCAAGCGUUGUUCGGAUUUAUUGGGCGUAAAGGGCACGCAGGCGGACUGAUAAGUUGGAUGUUUAAUCUUUAGGCUCAACCUAAAGUCGGCAUCCAAAACUGUUAGUCUUGAGUCCCAGAGGGGAAAGCGGAAUUCUCGGUGUAGCGGUGGAAUGCGUAGAUAUCGAGAGGAACACCAGUGGCGAAGGUGGCUUUCUGGCUGGGUACUGACGCUCAGGUGCGAAAGCGUGGGGAGCGAACAGGAUUAGAUACCCUGGUAGUCCACGCCGUAAACGUUGUGCACUAGAUGUUGGGGGUUUCAACGCCUUCAGUGUCGGCGCCAACGCAUUAAGUGCACCGCCUGGGGAGUAUGCUCGCAAGGGUGAAACUCAAAGGAAUUGACGGGGGCCCGCACAAGCGGUGGAGCAUGUGGUUUAAUUCGACGAUACACGAAGAACCUUACCCGGGCUUGACAUUCAUUUGGACGGGCGUAGAGAUACGCCUUCCUUUAUGGCCGAUGAACAGGUGUUGCAUGGUUGUCGUCAGCUCGUGUUGUGAGAUGUUGGGUUAAGUCCCGCAACGAGCGCAACCCCUACCUCCUGUUGCUAGCAGGUAAAGCUGAGCACUCUGGAGGGACCGCCGGUGAUAAACUGGAGGAAGGUAGGGAUCACGUCAGAUCAGCAUGGCCCUUACGUCCGGGGCUACACACGUGCUACAAUGGCCGGUACAAAGGGUCACAAAACCGCAAGGUGGAGUAAAUCCCAUAAAACCGGUCUCAGUUCGGAUUGCAGUCUGCAACUCGACUGCAUGAAGCCGGAAUCGCUAGUAAUCGCGGAUCAGCUAAGCCGCGGUGAAUACGUUCCCGGGCCUUGUACACACCGCCCGUCACACCACCCAAGUUAGCGGCACCCGAAGCGGCUUCGUUAACCUUCUUCGGAAGGAGGCAGGUCACGAAGGUGAAGUUGGCGAGGGGGGUGAAGUCGUAACAAGGUA